This 253-nucleotide ribosomal RNA is filed under the name uncultured bacterium. Its description in RNAcentral is "partial 16S ribosomal RNA". It matches the Rfam family "Bacterial small subunit ribosomal RNA", at positions 524 to 776 of the family's 1533-position model. The record is from RNAcentral.
UACGUAGGGGGCGAGCGUUAAUCGGAAUUACUGGGCGUAAAGUGUGCGCAGGCGGCUUCGCAAGUCGAGUGUGAAAUUCCCGAGCUUAACUUGGGAAUUGCGCUCGAAACUACGGAGCUGGAGUGUGGCAGAGGAAGGUGGAAUUCCACGUGUAGCGGUGAAAUGCGUAGAGAUGUGGAGGAACACCGAUGGCGAAGGCAGCCUUCUGGGCCAACACUGACGCUCAUGCACGAAAGCGUGGGGAGCAAACAGG